GAUGAACGCUGGCGGCGUGCCUAAUACAUGCAAGUCGAGCGAACGGACGAGAAGCUUGCUUCUCUGAUGUUAGCGGCGGACGGGUGAGUAACACGUGGAUAACCUACCUAUAAGACUGGGAUAACUUCGGGAAACCGGAGCUAAUACCGGAUAAUAUUUUGAACCGCAUGGUUCAAAAGUGAAAGACGGUCUUGCUGUCACUUAUAGAUGGAUCCGCGCUGCAUUAGCUAGUUGGUAAGGUAACGGCUUACCAAGGCACCGAUGCAUAGCCGACCUGAGGGGGUGAUCGGCCACACUGGAACUGAGACACGGUCCAGACUCCUACGGGAGGCAGCAGUAGGGAAUCUUCCGCAAUGGGCGAAAGCCUGACGGAGCAACGCCGCGUGAGUGAUGAAGGUCUUCGGAUCGUAAAACUCUGUUAUUAGGGAAGAACAUAUGUGUAAGUAACUGUGCACAUCUUGACGGUACCUAAUCAGAAAGCCACGGCUAACUACGUG
RNAcentral lists this ribosomal RNA (497 nucleotides) under uncultured bacterium. Its description in RNAcentral is "partial 16S ribosomal RNA". It matches the Rfam family "Bacterial small subunit ribosomal RNA", at positions 28 to 507 of the family's 1533-position model. The record is from RNAcentral.